Molecule: ribosomal RNA, 163 nt
Filed under: Dorcoceras philippense
Lineage: Eukaryota; Viridiplantae; Streptophyta; Magnoliopsida; Lamiales; Gesneriaceae
Description: 5.8S ribosomal RNA
Rfam family: 5.8S ribosomal RNA
About the family: 5.8S ribosomal RNA (5.8S rRNA) is a component of the large subunit of the eukaryotic ribosome. It is transcribed by RNA polymerase I as part of the 45S precursor that also contains 18S and 28S rRNA.
Source: RNAcentral
AUAAGGACUCUCGGCAACGGAUAUCUCGGCUCUCGCAUCGAUGAAGAACGUAGCGAAAUGCGAUACUUGGUGUGAAUUGCAGAAUCCCGUGAACCAUCGAGUCUUUGAACGCAAGUUGCGCCCGAAGCCAGCAGGCUGAGGGCACGUCUGCCUGGGUGUCACG